Prunus dulcis (almond) is the source of this 1986-nucleotide RNA transcript. It is a transcript of the gene named zinc finger protein CONSTANS-LIKE 15-like, with no coding region annotated. The record is from RefSeq and is a predicted model, not a curated record. The transcript is spliced from 5 exons. NCBI's taxonomy places the organism in Eukaryota, Viridiplantae, Streptophyta, Magnoliopsida, Rosales, Rosaceae.
AAUAUAGAUUGUCUUCCCAAUCAUACACUGCACCUCCCAUUUCCACUUUGGCAAAAUAAUAUAUUUAUAUAAAAAAUCACCAUCACAAUCGAAAAGCCGAAAUUGAUAGACACACUCCCUUGUCAUUUCUUGCUGAUUACAAAUUUUCUACUCUGAAAAAAUCUGCAAGGAAAAAAAAAAAACCUAUCUCAAAGGGUGUUUUGAAAUCAGUCUUAAACAGCAAGCAAAGCAGAUUUGAAGAAUCCAUAGAUAUAGUUUGCUUCAAGACGAUAGAGAUUAGGAAGGAAGAAAAAUUAGCAUGGCGAGCCCGAAAUCCAGAAGCGGGGAGGGCGUGCCCUGCGAUUUCUGCACUGAUCAGCCGGCGGUUCUCUACUGUAAGGCCGACUCCGCCAAGCUCUGCUUAUUCUGCGACCAGCACGUGCACUCGGCCAACUUGCUCUCCCGGAAGCACGUGCGCUCUCAGAUCUGUGAUAAUUGCGCGUCCGAGCCCGUCUCCGUCCGCUGCUCUACCGACAACCUCGUUCUCUGCCAGGAGUGCGAUUGGGACGCCCACGGUAGCUGCUCUGUCUCGGCCGCACACGAUCGCACCCCUCUCGAGGGCUUCUCCGGCUGCCCCUCCGCGCUCCAGCUCGCCUCCCUGCUGGGCCUCGAUCUCCACGACAAGAACGUUCCGGGUCAACCCGACCCGCAGCUCCAGAACUGGGAUAUGGGUAUGCCCUCCCUGGAUUCUUCUUGGAGUGGGAUGGGCCUGCAGGACUUGAUGGUGCCCAACCACAACCAGAACCGCGUCGUUUACCCGAAUGAUGAGCUGAUGGUGAAGAGACAGAGUGCCGGGGGCAUUAGCGGGAAGCAGAAGCAGGGGAUACAGAAGCAGCUGGUGGAGUUGCUUAAGAGAGACUUGGACGGUAGCGGUGGCGGUGGCGAUGGAGGUGGUUGUGGUGAUGGUGGAGAGAAUUUGGUGGUGCCGCGUACGCCGCCAAGCAGUGGUUGGCAGGAGGACAAUGGAAAUGGGAACGGGGAAGGUCUUGAACCGCUUGAGCUGGGGAAUAGGAAUGGAGGUGUUGAUGGGGUUGUAGUUUCUGCUGCCACUUCGCAGCCAUUGUUGCAGCAACAAGCGCCCUUUACGUCUCUGCUUAUGAUGCCUGAAGAGAACCGUGGCAUUGUCGACGGUGACAUGUUGUGGAAUAGCAACCCCCAUGGUCAGAGCAGUCAGAUAUGGGAUUUCCAUUUAGGACGGUCGAGGGAUCAUGAAGAAUCAGGUCCAUUGGAAGUCACAUAUGGUUCAAACGAUUCAGGAUUUAUGAUUAAGAAUUUUGGUGAACUUAUGAAAGAAACAUCUUUGACUGAUACAAAAAUGUUCAGAGAUUUGUACCAGAUGAACUGCCCUGUUGGACAUGAUGAUAUAAAAUUCAGUAACAACUCCAAUAACCCCACACCCAGUCAGGGGCCAGCAACAUCUGAGAGCAACAACAUCCCUGUUGGGCGGCCGUCAUUGGGGUCAGCUUUUGGUGAAGACAAGGGCUCUGGUGCUUCUACAGAUCUCAAUUUUAUGGAACAAUCUUUUCUGAUGAGAGGUGACAGUCUGAGAACGGUAGGCACAAAGGCUGACAUGGAGCUACUAGCACAAAACAGAGGCAACGCUAUGCUACGUUACAAAGAGAAGAAGAAAACCCGAAGAUAUGAUAAGCACAUAAGAUAUGAGUCAAGGAAAGCAAGAGCUGAUACUAGGAAGCGAGUCAAGGGUCGAUUUGUGAAGGCUACUGAGGCUCCUGAUGGUUAGAUCAGAUCCAUGUUGAGUUGGGGCUUCUCCUAUCUUCUUGUUUGUAAAUAUUGGUUUCUUUCCUCGCAAGGCAAAUCAACCUCUGCUCUCCCGAGCUUGUUCUAGAAGUGGAAGGACGGCUUCACGUCACAAACUCACAAUGUAAAAUAUUACAGAAUUGUUUGACAUUCACUCACUCAUUAUAGAUAUCGGUCUCUCUAGGCAAA